UUUGGUGAUUUUAGCGAGGAGGAAACACCUGGUCCCAUUCCGAACCCAGCAGUUAAGCUCCUCAGCGCCGAUGGUAGUUGGGGGGCGACCCCCUGCGAGAGUAGGUCAUCGCCAAGA
RNAcentral lists this ribosomal RNA (117 nucleotides) under Anaerolineae bacterium. Lineage: Bacteria; Bacillati; Chloroflexota; Anaerolineae. The record is from RNAcentral.